UUGAGUCACUGUACACUCCUGGAGAUAUGUUGGGUGAAGGAGGCUACGGGACAGUCUGUGCAGGAUAUCGUAAUGCGGAUGGCAAGCAGGUUGCAAUUAAAUACGUGAGAAAAAGUCCGGACGAUGACUUCAUCACCAUUUUUGGAGAGACACGCAGCCUUGAUUGGUUUGAGAUGUCCAACUGCUACAUCUCGGUCCUGGAGCGACCGCGUCCCUGCAUGGACGUCCAGAAAUAACAUCAGCGUUACUAAUGAUUCCACAGUAGC
Tachysurus vachellii is the source of this 266-nucleotide long non-coding RNA. RefSeq lists it as uncharacterized. The record is from RefSeq and is a predicted model, not a curated record. Lineage: Eukaryota; Metazoa; Chordata; Actinopteri; Siluriformes; Bagridae. The transcript has 3 exons.